CAAGUCGAGGGCAGCGCGGGAGUAGCAAUACUUCUGGCGGCGACCGGCGGAAUGGGUGAGUAACACGUAUCCAACCUGGCCCGCAUCUCGGGGACAGCCUUUCGAAAGAAAGAUUAAUACCCGAUAGCGGCCGCUCCUUCACAUGGAGGCGCGUGUCAAAGAUUCAUCGGAUGCGGGAUGGGGAUGCGCCUGACAUUAGGCAGUUGGCGGGGUAACGGCCCACCAAACCGACGAUCAGUAGGGGUUCUGAGAGGAAGGUCCCCCACAUUGGAACUGAGACACGGUCCAAACUCCUACGGGAGGCAGCAGUGAGGAAUAUUGGUCAAUGGGCGGAAGCCUGAACCAGCCAAGUAGCGUGCAGGACGACGGCCCUCUGGGUUGUAAACUUGCUUUUGUGCGGGGGUAAAGUGACCUACGUGUAGUUUAAUGAGAGUACAUCACGAAUAAGCAUCGGCUAACUCCGUGCCAGCAGCCGCGGUAAUACGGAGGAUGCGAGCGUUAUCCGGAUUUAUUGGGUUUAAAGGGAGCGUAGGCUGUGCCGGUUAAGUCAGUUGUGAAAAGCAGGUGCUCAACAUCUGCCUUGCAGUUGAAACUGUCCGCGCUUGAGCGUGUGAUGAGGCAGGCGGAAUUCGUGGUGUAGCGGUGAAAUGCUUAGAUAUCACGAAGAACUCCGAUUGCGAAGGCAGCUUGCGUGGCCCACGUCUGACACUAAUGCACGAAAGCGUGGGGAUCAAACAGGAUUAGAUACCCUGGUAGUCCACGCAGUAAACGAUGAUGACUAACUGUCGGCGAUAAACAGUCGGUGGCCAAGCGAAAGCGAUAAGUCAUCCACCUGGGGAGUACGUUCGCAAGAAUGAAACUCAAAGGAAUUGACGGGGGCCCGCACAAGCGGAGGAACAUGUGGUUUAAUUCGAUGAUACGCGAGGAACCUUACCCGGGCUCGAACGGCUAGACGAACGCGGCAGAGAUGCCAAGGUCCUUCGGGACGUCUGUCGAGGUGCUGCAUGGUUGUCGUCAGCUCGUGCCGUGAGGUGUCGGCUCAAGUGCCAUAACGAGCGCAACCCCUGCCUUCAGUUACCAGCACGUAGAGGUGGGGACUCUGGAGGGACUGCCACCGCAAGGUGAGAGGAGGGGGAGGAUGACGUCAAAUCAGCACGGCCCUUACGUCCGGGGCGACACACGUGUUACAAUGGCGACUACAGAGGGAAGCCACCCGGUGACGGGGCGCGGAUCUCGAAAAGUCGUCUCAGUUCGGAUCGGAGUCUGCAACUCGACUCCGUGAAGCUGGAUUCGCUAGUAAUCGCGCAUCAGCCAUGGCGCGGUGAAUACGUUCCCGGGCCUUGUACACACCGCCCGUCAAGCCA
RNAcentral lists this ribosomal RNA (1364 nucleotides) under uncultured bacterium. RNAcentral's name for it is "bacterial SSU rRNA". It matches the Rfam family "Bacterial small subunit ribosomal RNA", at positions 58 to 1404 of the family's 1533-position model. The record is from RNAcentral.